Molecule: ribosomal RNA, 118 nt
Filed under: uncultured bacterium
Lineage: Bacteria
Description: partial 16S ribosomal RNA
Rfam family: Bacterial small subunit ribosomal RNA
Source: RNAcentral
AAUACGUCCCGGGCCUUGUACACACCGCCCGUCACACCACGAAAGUCGGCAACACCCGAAGCCGGUGGCCUAACCCGUAAGGGAGGAGCCGUCGAAGGUGGGGUCGGUGAUUGGGGUG